Plodia interpunctella (Indianmeal moth) is the source of this 1130-nucleotide long non-coding RNA. RefSeq lists it as uncharacterized. NCBI's taxonomy places the organism in Eukaryota, Metazoa, Arthropoda, Insecta, Lepidoptera, Pyralidae. The transcript is spliced from 4 exons. The record is from RefSeq and is a predicted model, not a curated record.
CAAAAUUAAUUGUCCUUAUUCGACCGUGUAUCUCAAGGAAAGCUGUCUAGACGUUUAUUACUACAAAAAUCUAGUAGAUUUUGUGUGUGCUAUGUUAUUUCCAGCUGGCCCUGGUAGAAGGGGCAAACCCAAGAAGUGCUUAAUGUCGUCAAAGAAGAUAUGCGUGCAUAUGGUUUGACAACUAAGGAAGACGAACAACGUGCGAAGUGGAGGAGAAGAAGCAGGAAAGCAGGCCCUGGGCUCCAACGUUAAAUGUGAACUAUCAUCCUAACUGCCUCCAACCAACAAACAUUGGAACAAGUUACGAAGCAGCAUCGAAUACCCGCCUGCAAUAGUUUGCAGGAACUAACUGACGGCAAUUUGUAACCAACUUCCGUUGCACCAACUUCCGUGAAGCUACGAGUUACACAACUAUGCUAAAUUCAGGAGCAUUUUGCUCUCGCUUAAUAAAUUGCUAUACAUUUUUAGUUCGAACGGAGCUGUAUCAGAUUGUGUUGGACGUGUUUCGGGCCAAUGCCAAGACUUUUAAAGCAGAAUCAGAAUGUAUUUUGAGAAUUUUCUAUACAUACACAUCGUGUAUAGUGACGAAGCAGAGUAAAAAAGUUUAUUAUAAAGAGUUACACUAAAGCAAAGUGCAUAUGACGUGCAGUAACGAAUUUCGGGAUAACGGCUGGUGUCGCGGCGGAUGACGGCCGACGACCGCACUGCAGCAUUCGGUCGCAGCUGCAGUCGUCCAUGAAGCUCGGAAACAAGAACAAAGCCUUUAAGAAAUUGGACUGCGGCGGAAUCCGCAUCACCUCCGUUGAUAUGUCUAACUGCAAUACAGCUACACUGCAGUGAAUCGUUAGCAAUUUAUAAAAAUAGUCAAAAAUAUAAGUCGUUACUGUUUCCCUGGCACUUACCAGGCAAAAAUAUGUUAAUGGUAGUAGCAGUUAGUGGCACCCGAGGUGGCACUCACCAACACAUGUCGAAAUAUUCCAUAACAAAGCUGAUAUAUACAUAUCUGCGAGCGAGGGGAGCGCGUGCAGCGUGAGGUCGCGGCAAACUGCGCGACCAGCGCUGACGCAAACAGGACACUCCUGACCGCAGCUUUACGACUCUGCCGCCCUCGAUUAAACCGACGCGCUAGG